CAGCAGCCGCGGUAAUACGAAGGGUGCAAGCGUUAAUCGGAAUUACUGGGCGUAAAGCGUGCGUAGGCGGUUUGUUAAGUCUGCUGUGAAAUCCCCGGGCUCAACCUGGGAAUGGCAGUGGAUACUGGCAAGCUAGAGUGUGUCAGAGGAUGGUGGAAUUCCCGGUGUAGCGGUGAAAUGCGUAGAGAUCGGGAGGAACAUCAGUGGCGAAGGCGGCCAUCUGGGACAACACUGACGCUGAGGCACGAAAGCGUGGGGAGCAAACAGGAUUAGAUACCCCGGUAGUCCCUGUCUCUUAUAA
RNAcentral lists this ribosomal RNA (301 nucleotides) under uncultured bacterium. RNAcentral's name for it is "partial 16S ribosomal RNA". It matches the Rfam family "Bacterial small subunit ribosomal RNA", at positions 509 to 809 of the family's 1533-position model. The record is from RNAcentral.